Molecule: ribosomal RNA, 492 nt
Filed under: uncultured bacterium
Lineage: Bacteria
Description: partial 16S ribosomal RNA
Rfam family: Bacterial small subunit ribosomal RNA
Source: RNAcentral
AGUGAACGCUGGCGGUAGGCCUAACACAUGCAAGUCGAACGGCAGCACAGUAAUAGCUUGCUCUUACGGGUGGCGAGUGGCGGACGGGUGAGGAAUACAUCGGAAUCUACUUUUUCGUGGGGGAUAACGUAGGUAAACUUACGCUAACACCGCAUACGACCUACGGGUGAAAGCAGGGGAUCUUCUGACCUUGCGCGAUUGAAUGAGCCGAUGUCGGAUUAGCUAGUUGGCGGGGUAAAGGCCCACCAAGGCGACGAUCCGUAGCUGGUCUGAGAGGAUGAUCAGCCACACUGGAACUGAGACACGGUCCAGACUCCUAAGGGAGGCAGCAGUGGGGAAUAUUGGACAAUGGGCGCAAGCCUGAUCCAGCCAUACCGCGUGGGUGAAGAAGGCCUUCGGGUUGUAAAGCCCUUUUGUUGGGAAAGAAAAGCAGCAGGUUAAUACCCAGCUGUUCUGACGGUACCCAAAGAAUAAGCACCGGCUAACUUCGUG